GCGUGAGUGAUGAAGGCCUUCGGGUUGUAAAGCUCUUUUACCCGGGAAGAUAAUGACUGUACCGGGAGAAUAAGCUCCGGCUAACUUCGUGCCAGCAGCCGCGGUAAUACGAAGGGGGCUAGCGUUGUUCGGAAUUACUGGGCGUAAAGCGCGCGCAGGCGGUUUCUCAAGUCAGUGGUGAAAGCCCGGAGCUCAACUCCGGAACUGCCAUUGAAACUGUGAAACUUGAGGACGAGAGAGGUGAGUGGAAUUCCCAGUGUAGAGGUGAAAUUCGU
This 275-nucleotide ribosomal RNA is filed under the name uncultured bacterium. Its description in RNAcentral is "partial 16S ribosomal RNA". It matches the Rfam family "Bacterial small subunit ribosomal RNA", at positions 399 to 691 of the family's 1533-position model. The record is from RNAcentral.